Molecule: ribosomal RNA, 447 nt
Filed under: uncultured bacterium
Lineage: Bacteria
Description: bacterial SSU rRNA
Rfam family: Bacterial small subunit ribosomal RNA
Source: RNAcentral
UCCAGACUCCUACGGGAGGCAGCAGUCGGGAAUAUUGCACAAUGGAGGAAACUCUGAUGCAGUGACGCCGCGUGCAGGAAGAAGGUUUUCGGAUUGUAAACUGCUUUAGACAGGGAAGAAACAAGACAGUACCUGUAGAAUAAGCUCCGGCUAACUCCGUGCCAGCAGCCGCGGUAAUACGGAGGAUGCGAGCGUUAUCCGGAUUUAUUGGGUUUAAAGGGUGCGUAGGCGGACUGUUAAGUCAGCGGUAAAGGCCGGGGGCCCACCCCCGGCGAGCCGUUGAAACUGGCUGUCUUGAGAUGUCGAGAGGUAUGCGGAAUGCGCAGUGUAGCGGUGAAAUGCUUAGAUAUUGCGCAGAACUCCGAUUGCGAAGGCAGCAUACCGGCGGCGAUCUGACGCUGAGGCACGAAAGCGUGGGUAUCGAACAGGAUUAGAUACCCCAGUAAA